UACCAAAAAUUCAGGAGAUGUGUAUUUAAGAGAUUAAAAUUAGGACAAGGAAAUCACUCGCGAUCAAGUCUUUCAUAAAGGAGCCGCACCAUGCUACUUCCUCUAUCCCACCUAAACUCUGACGUAGAGGAAGCAUACCCUACAACCAAAACAUGUCAAUAAAGAACAGAGAACAAGUCAUCCAAGAGAAGAGUCUAAAGCAAUUUAAAAGGGGUAAAGGAGAGACCCACAGAGCUCUUUCUCACCAGCAGGGGCACC
This 258-nucleotide long non-coding RNA is filed under the name Elaeis guineensis (African oil palm). Its description in RNAcentral is "long non-coding RNA (EGUI_LNC021341)". Lineage: Eukaryota; Viridiplantae; Streptophyta; Magnoliopsida; Arecales; Arecaceae. The record is from RNAcentral.